GGGGAAUUUUGGACAAUGGGCGCAAGCCUGAUCCAGCCAUGCCGCGUGCGGGAAGAAGGCCUUCGGGUUGUAAAUCGCUUUUGUCAGGGAAGAAAUCCUUUGAGCUACUACCUCGGGGGGAUGACGGUACCUGAAGAAUAAGCACCGGCUAACUACGUGCCAGCAGCCGCGGUAAUACGUAGGGUGCAAGCGUUAAUCGGAAUUACUGGGCGUAAAGCGUGCGCAGGCGGUCAUGAAAGUCAGAUGUGAAAUCCCCGGGCUCAACCGGAGAACUGCAUUUGUGACUGCAUGGCUGGAGUGCGGCAGAGGGGGAUGGAAUUCCGCGUGUAGCAGUGAAAUGCGUAGAUAUGCGGAAGAACACCGGUGGCGAAGGCAGUCCCCUGGGCCUGAACUGACACUCAUGCACGAAAGCGUGGGGAGCAAACA
Molecule: ribosomal RNA, 426 nt
Filed under: uncultured bacterium
Lineage: Bacteria
Description: bacterial SSU rRNA
Rfam family: Bacterial small subunit ribosomal RNA
Source: RNAcentral